This 616-nucleotide ribosomal RNA is filed under the name Exserohilum rostratum. Its description in RNAcentral is "partial large subunit ribosomal RNA". It matches the Rfam family "Eukaryotic large subunit ribosomal RNA", at positions 37 to 664 of the family's 3401-position model. Lineage: Eukaryota; Fungi; Ascomycota; Dothideomycetes; Pleosporales; Pleosporaceae. The record is from RNAcentral.
UGCAUAUUUCCCAAAAGCGGAGGAAAAGAAACCAACAGGGAUUGCCCUAGUAACGGCGAGUGAGCGGCAACAGCUCAAAUUUGAAAUCUGGCUCUUUCAGAGUCCGAGUUGUAAUUUGCAGAGGGCGCUUUGGCUUUGGCAGCGGUCCAAGUUCCUUGGAACAGGACGUCACAGAGGGUGAGAAUCCCGUACGUGGUCGCUAGCUAUUGCCGUGUAAAGCCCCUUCGACGAGUCGAGUUGUUUGGGAAUGCAGCUCUAAAUGGGAGGUAAAUUUCUUCUAAAGCUAAAUAUUGGCCAGAGACCGAUAGCGCACAAGUAGAGUGAUCGAAAGAUGAAAAGCACUUUGGAAAGAGAGUCAAACAGCACGUGAAAUUGUUGAAAGGGAAGCGCUUGCAGCCAGACUUGCUUGCAGUUGCUCAUCCGGGCUUUUGCCCGGUGCACUCUUCUGCAGGCAGGCCAGCAUCAGUUUGGGCGGUGGGAUAAAGGUCUCUGUCAUGUACCUCUCUUCGGGGAGGCCUUAUAGGGGAGGCGACAUACCACCAGCCUAGACUGAGGUCCGCGCAUCUGCUAGGAUGCUGGCGUAAUGGCUGUAAGCGGCCCGUCUUGAAAACAGGAA